RNAcentral lists this ribosomal RNA (384 nucleotides) under Mantoniella sp. RNAcentral's name for it is "partial small subunit ribosomal RNA". It matches the Rfam family "Eukaryotic small subunit ribosomal RNA", at positions 582 to 975 of the family's 1831-position model. Lineage: Eukaryota; Viridiplantae; Chlorophyta; Mamiellophyceae; Mamiellales; Mamiellaceae. The record is from RNAcentral.
AUCCCAGUUCCAAUAGCGUAUAUUUAAGUUGUUGCAGUUAAAAAGCUCGUAGUUGGAAUUCGGUUGAGAGCGGCCGGUCCGCCGUUUGGUGUGCACUGGCUGGUCUCAACUUCCUGCGGAGGACGCGCUCUGGGCUUAACGGUCUGGACGUGGAGUCCGCGUGGUUACUUUGAAAAAAUUAGAGUGUUCAAAGCGGGCUUACGCUUGAAUAUUUCAGCAUGGAAUAACACUUUAGGACUCCUGUCCUAUUUCGUUGGUCUCGGGACGGGAGUAAUGAUUAAGAGGAACAGUUGGGGGCAUUCGUAUUUCAUUGUCAGAGGUGAAAUUCUUGGAUUUAUGAAAGACAAACUUCUGCGAAAGCAUUUGCCAUGGAUGUUUUCAUCG